This 1408-nucleotide ribosomal RNA is filed under the name uncultured bacterium. RNAcentral's name for it is "partial 16S ribosomal RNA". It matches the Rfam family "Bacterial small subunit ribosomal RNA". The record is from RNAcentral.
AGAGUUUGAUCCUGGCUCAGGAUGAACGCUGGCGGUGCACAUAAGACAUGCAAGUCGAACGGAAAUCGUUAUUAAUGGAAAUAAGAUUUAUCUGAAAUAAGUUAAUAACAAUGAUUUUAGUGGCGGACUGGUGAGUAACACGUAAGCAACCUGCCUAUUAGAGGGGAAUAACAGUGAGAAACCACUGCUAAUACCGCAUAAGCUGACAAUACCGCAUGGUAUAGUCAGAAAAGGAGAAAUCCGCUAAUAGAUGGGCUUGCGUCCGAUUAGCUAGUUGGUGGGGUAAAGGCCUACCAAGGCAACGAUCGGUAGCCGAGCUGAGAGGCUCAACGGCCACAUUGGGACUGAGAUACGGCCCAGACUCCUACGGGAGGCAGCAGUCGGGAAUAUUGCACAAUGGAGGAAACUCUGAUGCAGUGACACCGCGUAUAGGAAGAAGGUUUUCGGAUUGUAAACUAUUUUAGACAGGGAAGAAAAAAGACAGUACCUGUAGAAUAAGCUCCGGCUAACUACGUGCCAGCAGCCGCGGUAAUACGUAGGGAGCAAGCGUUAUCCGGAAUUAUUGGGUGUAAAGGGUGCGUAGACGGGACAGCAAGUUAGUUGUGAAAGCCCUCGGCUUAACUGAGGAACUGCAACUAAAACUAUUGUUCUUGAGUGCAGAAGAGGACAGUGGAACUCCAUGUGUAGCGGUGGAAUGCGUAGAUAUAUGGAAGAACACCAGUGGUGAAGGCGGCUGUCUGGUCUGCAACUGACGCUGAGGCUCGAAAGCAUGGGUAGCGAACAGGAUUAGAUACCCUGGUAGUCCAUACCGUAAACGAUGAGUGCUAGGUGUUGGAGGGUUCCGCCCUCCAGUGCCGGAGCAUACGCAUUAAGCACUCCACCUGGGGGAGUUCGACCGCAAGGUUGUAACUCAUAAGGAAUUGACGGGGGCCCGCACAAGCGGUGGAGCAUGUGGUUUAAUUCGAAGGUACGCGAAGAACCUUACCAGGUCUUGACAUCUUGCGCUAACCUUAGAGAUAAGGCGUUCCCUUCGGGGACGCAAUGACAGGUGGUGCAUGGUCGUCGUCAGCUCGUGUCGUGAGAUGUUGGGUUAAGUCCCGCAACGAGCGCAACCCUUGUUACUAGUUGCCAGCAUUAAGUUGGGCACUCUAGUGAGACUGCCGGUGACAAACCGGAGGAAGGUGGGGACGACGUCAGAUCAUUAUGCCCCCUAUGACCUGGGCUACACGCGUGCUACAAUGGACGGUACAACGAGUCGCAAGCUCGCGAGAGUAAGCUAAUCUCUUAAAGCCGUUCUCAGUUCGGACUGUAGGCUGCAACUCGCCUACACGAAGUCGGAAUCGCUAGUAAUCGCGGAUCAGCAUGCCGCGGUGAAUACGUUCCCGGGCCUUGCACACACCGCCCGUCA